This is a long non-coding RNA of Motacilla alba alba, 485 nucleotides long. RefSeq lists it as uncharacterized. The record is from RefSeq and is a predicted model, not a curated record. The transcript has 5 exons. Lineage: Eukaryota; Metazoa; Chordata; Aves; Passeriformes; Motacillidae.
GGAUAGAAUCCAUGGCGGAGCACCCCAUUCCGGGUGCAGAGGUUCGGCCGAGCAGGAAGUCAAGCCGGAUAGCAGCAAUCAAGUUGAAGAGGGCAAGGCAGUCCACUCGGAGUAUGCCAGGCCCCCGUCACCAGCCACCUGAUGGACCGGGUUUGCUGCUUUUGUGAGCCCUGUGGACGUCCGACAGGACUCGGUGAUGAAGCCUUUGCUUUUUCUGUUUAAAGGUGGCACCUGGGUAGCCUUUGACAAUGGUGGAGGAGUUGCAGCAGACCCUGCGACGACAGCGUGGCCUCCGUGCACGGCGCAAUCGUGCCGCACGAGGACCCGGGCAUUCUUAGGAGAGCGGAGACUACGAGACAACAGCCCAGUGACAGCAGGAACUUCCCAGAUGGCGAGGCAGCCUUCCUUUGCACCUGACACGGACCCGGUUCCCCAGAUGUCAGAGAUAAGUAGAAGGCUGUGACCCAGACAGGGGAUGAAAGCGG